UGAAGCAGUUAUGUGACCACAAACAUGAGGGACUUCAUUCAUUCAUUCAAACAAAAGGGAGCUUCUUAAAGAGACAGAGGCCCAAUUUCAAGAUGUUAAAUUACAAAGUCAAAAUUCUUUUAAGUCGUGUUUGAUGAAUACAGCAACUGAAGGUAGCAAAUAAUUGUUACAGGAUUGAAGGGUUGGACAAUACAGAUCAAACACGUCACAAUAUAAGCGUUUCGUAUCGGUCGAUAUCGAUAAUUAUUGAUUAGUUAAUUGUUUUGAAUAUCUGAAAUGCAGCCAAACUGAUGGCAUGACCUUCUCCUGUUUUACUCACAGUUUUCACUCUUUUGAUUUGGCAUAGUGACGAAACCUUGAACUGCUGCUGCGCCACUCAGCAGGUUGUUGCUAAGUAACCAAAGAAUGAGUGAGUUGCUAGGUUACCAAAGAGAGUGAGAUAGUUGAUUCCACCAAUCUUUCUUAGCUUGCCUUAAGAGGUCGAGAAACUAAAGCCUUUCCUCUGCCUACAUCUCCCAGAAUGCAGUGCGGCUCUGCACCAGUAGUCAGUGAGUAUUCUACAUACUAAAUAUUCUACCAGAAGUGUUAUCUAUUGAUAUUGAUCACAUGUCUAUCGCGGUAUAAAUUGUUAUCGAUUUAUUGCCCAGCUCUAUCUGAUUGCGCUAUAAAGCGGCUGGAAUGUACAGAAUACUUCUGCUAUGAAUCUGACAUCAGAAACUAAUUUAUCGGCUUAUUUAUUUUUGAGACCUCCACCUCUUGUGGCGUUCAGUACUUCUCAGUCCCUGGUUUCGUUUUGUCUCACACCGACUGAUUAGGGCUCCACCCUCAGGUCGCCUUUGCAGCGAUCACCUCCUCUGCCUUUUGCACCAAACUUCUUCUCAACUCGUCUGACCUUUCAAACUUGUGCCAAGCAGUUCGGCUGACUUCGCGCAUGAGCUGAGUUUAGGCACGUCUAGGUGUGAAAAUGAGUCUUUUGUGUUGCAGUGCAUUUAAGUGAAAAUAUGUUGAGCAAGUCCAGCCACAUCUUUUUGUUGUUUAAUUCUUGAGUGUGUUGAUGUGAUCAUUUUUAUGCAAGCUCAGACAACAACAACAAAAAAAACCCCCAACCUAAUAGUUUCAGAUCAGCUUCAGCAGGUUCACACUGUUCUUAGACAGGAAGCAUAUUAAGAGGAAGCCCUUGAUAAUUUAGGUCGUCCAUUUUUUAAAAUUUUUUUAAAGUGUGGACUGCCUCUGCAGUAAAAGACAAGAUCACGCUGUGUGGGCGAGGCUGUGUGUGGGCGAGGCUGUGUGUGGGCGAGGCUGUGUGGGGGCGAGGCUGUUUUAACGGCGGUGUCAACAUCCACACAAACAGCCUGUAACCUUUAAUAUUUCAGACGCCGUCUCUCACUUUGCAGCUUUUCUUUAAAGGUCAUGUUAUAUUUACAGAAAGAGAAGAGUCGGUGCAACGACAAGAGGCACUGAAACUGCUUCUUACCCAGACAGGUGCUUCUGUGUGACGGACCCUUUCUGAAUCAAAAAGUAAAGGGAAUGCACAAGCUGCAGAAAUUAAAAGUUGAGCCAUUAAUUUGAUGAUGCAGCACUUACAAUUUUGACUAGGAAUAACUCAUUUGCUUUGUGCAUCUCUAACUUCACACCCAGCGGUUGUGAAACUGCUGUUAGCAUAACAGCAAUACUGUUAUGAGUGUCAGUGCUAAUGAGGAAUAUUCGCAAUAUCCUAAAGCUGCGUUUCUGUGUUGACUAAAUUACAGGAAUGUUGGAUGAGUGGUGGAUAAACACUCCUUUUUAUUUAUUUAUUAUUUCUUUGUUUUGUGGUUGAGAGCUGGAAAACUGAACUGAAACACCAGCGCUGUAAAAACCAAAAUAGGAGCAGAAACUUUUUUAUCUUCUCUCCGUGUUUAAGCUCUUAGUUUGACUCGUCUUGCCUCUCAUAACAUGUUUCUCUCAUGUUAUGAGAGAAACAAUUUUCCAACGGACCAAGUACUUUUUAAGGAAUUACCGACUUAAAACAGUCUCAUAUUUUUGAUGAAAAGCUACUUGUAAGUUGGCUUUGCCUCAUUUGAAGUAUACUAAGAUAUUUGCACUGGAAACUAGACAGCAAAAAGUCUGUCAAUAAAGCCUCCAGACGGAGAGGCGCGCGUUGCUGCGCGGCUCCAGAGACGACUGCUGCCAUCGCCGUUUUCCACGGUUCAGACGGUGCCGCUAACGUGAUGCGCUCUUCCUUCCUGUUUCUGCUGCAGAACCUGUCCGGAAGUGAAGCUAAACAGUUUGAUCUUUGUUUUAUUCAGAGGAUUUCCUGGUGAGCCGAGAGUGAGGUGCCUUUUGGAUCAUGCCAGCAGGUCUGUCGUGAGUCAUUCAGUGAAAAGUGACCUCUGCCCUGUCAACCCGCCACAAAGCACAGAGCGCUGCACUCUGAACUACUGUUCUUCAGACCCAAAGCUUCAGUCUGAUGUGAUCUGAGAAAGGACUUCCUUCUAAUGUUGAGGAACUUCGACAGCUGUCAGCUGCACUUCUGAAUAUAAAGCAACAUUUAGCUGAAGCUAGGAUGUAUUUCCUCCUUCUGUUUCAACUCUGCGGUCCUGACUUCACCUCCUCACUUCCUCCCUCCCAGAGAUGAACUUCCUCUUCCAGUUCUUGCUCAGCUUUGCUGACACAGACCUGAGCCUCCAGCUGGGGAUUUCUUAUCAGGCUCCACCAUCAGCAGCAGGAACAAGUCUUGAUUCUGAA
Non-coding RNA from Poecilia reticulata (guppy), 2724 nucleotides. The record is from RefSeq and is a predicted model, not a curated record. Lineage: Eukaryota; Metazoa; Chordata; Actinopteri; Cyprinodontiformes; Poeciliidae.